AUCAUGGGCUGACAUCACAAAAUAGGAGGCAUUUUCAGAGCAGCCCUCACAUUCUUUCUUUGUCAGCUUCUAAAUACUCCCAGUUACCACAGGGAAAAAAGGAUCUCAAACGGCCCUCCCAUCUGAACUGCAAAACCAAUGACUUCUGAGUUGUGCCAGAAUUCAAGGAUGAGAACUUGAAGAUUUACUAAGGGAGAAGGUAGAAACACAGUUUCACCAACUGGAAAGAGAGGAAAAAUACUUUUGAACAAGUGCAGCUUCAGAAUAGGGUUUAAAGAAAAAGAACCUGACUUACACAUGUAUUCUUCAGAGUCAGAAGGGAAUACACUUGAAAUAUUUCCAGAAAUAAUCGAGGUAUUAACAUGCUGAAAUAGAAAAGAGAAGCUGAAAUAUAACCCCACACAAGCACAUGCAGUCACCCUGCUGGAUAGUCAAUGGCAGACCAAAGUUCUGCUGCUGUUGAAACAGUCUCAAGAUGAUUUCAUUGAAAGAAAAAGAGUCCUUUUCCAAUACACGUGCUCGGAUAAGGCACUGAAACUGCCAUCCUGAAUUCCCUCAUAACCUCACCAGGAGCUUUGGCUGCAAG
Long non-coding RNA from Phasianus colchicus (ring-necked pheasant), 586 nucleotides. RefSeq lists it as uncharacterized. The record is from RefSeq and is a predicted model, not a curated record. NCBI's taxonomy places the organism in Eukaryota, Metazoa, Chordata, Aves, Galliformes, Phasianidae.